This 1361-nucleotide ribosomal RNA is filed under the name Staphylococcus aureus. RNAcentral's name for it is "partial 23S ribosomal RNA". It matches the Rfam family "Bacterial large subunit ribosomal RNA", at positions 1503 to 2863 of the family's 2925-position model. The record is from RNAcentral. Lineage: Bacteria; Bacillati; Bacillota; Bacilli; Caryophanales; Staphylococcaceae.
AUUGCACGUCUAAGCAGUAAGGCUGAGUAUUAGGCAAAUCCGGUACUCGUUAAGGCUGAGCUGUGAUGGGGAGAAGACAUUGUGUCUUCGAGUCGUUGAUUUCACACUGCCGAGAAAAGCCUCUAGAUAGAAAAUAGGUGCCCGUACCGCAAACCGACACAGGUAGUCAAGAUGAGAAUUCUAAGGUGAGCGAGCGAACUCUCGUUAAGGAACUCGGCAAAAUGACCCCGUAACUUCGGGAGAAGGGGUGCUCUUUAGGGUUAACGCCCAGAAGAGCCGCAGUGAAUAGGCCCAAGCGACUGUUUAUCAAAAACACAGGUCUCUGCUAAACCGUAAGGUGAUGUAUAGGGGCUGACGCCUGCCCGGUGCUGGAAGGUUAAGAGGAGUGGUUAGCUUCUGCGAAGCUACGAAUCGAAGCCCCAGUAAACGGCGGCCGUAACUAUAACGGUCCUAAGGUAGCGAAAUUCCUUGUCGGGUAAGUUCCGACCCGCACGAAAGGCGUAACGAUUUGGGCACUGUCUCAACGAGAGACUCGGUGAAAUCAUAGUACCUGUGAAGAUGCAGGUUACCCGCGACAGGACGGAAAGACCCCGUGGAGCUUUACUGUAGCCUGAUAUUGAAAUUCGGCACAGCUUGUACAGGAUAGGUAGGAGCCUUUGAAACGUGAGCGCUAGCUUACGUGGAGGCGCUGGUGGGAUACUACCCUAGCUGUGUUGGCUUUCUAACCCGCACCACUUAUCGUGGUGGGAGACAGUGUCAGGCGGGCAGUUUGACUGGGGCGGUCGCCUCCUAAAAGGUAACGGAGGCGCUCAAAGGUUCCCUCAGAAUGGUUGGAAAUCAUUCAUAGAGUGUAAAGGCAUAAGGGAGCUUGACUGCGAGACCUACAAGUCGAGCAGGGUCGAAAGACGGACUUAGUGAUCCGGUGGUUCCGCAUGGAAGGGCCAUCGCUCAACGGAUAAAAGCUACCCCGGGGAUAACAGGCUUAUCUCCCCCAAGAGUUCACAUCGACGGGGAGGUUUGGCACCUCGAUGUCGGCUCAUCGCAUCCUGGGGCUGUAGUCGGUCCCAAGGGUUGGGCUGUUCGCCCAUUAAAGCGGUACGCGAGCUGGGUUCAGAACGUCGUGAGACAGUUCGGUCCCUAUCCGUCGUGGGCGUAGGAAAUUUGAGAGGAGCUGUCCUUAGUACGAGAGGACCGGGAUGGACAUACCUCUGGUGUACCAGUUGUCGUGCCAACGGCAUAGCUGGGUAGCUAUGUGUGGACGGGAUAAGUGCUGAAAGCAUCUAAGCAUGAAGCCCCCCUCAAGAUGAGAUUUCCCAACUUCGGUUAUAAGAUCCCUCAAAGAUGAUGAGGUUAAUAGGUUC